CCUACGGGGUGCAGCAGUGAGGAAUAUUGGUCAAUGGACGAGAGUCUGAACCAGCCAAGUAGCGUGAAGGAUGACUGCCCUAUGGGUUGUAAACUUCUUUUAUAUGGGAAUAAAAUGUUCCACGUGUGGGAUUUUGUAUGUACCAUAUGAAUAAGGAUCGGCUAACUCCGUGCCAGCAGCCGCGGUAAUACGGAGGAUCCGAGCGUUAUCCGGAUUUAUUGGGUUUAAAGGGAGCGUAGGUGGAUUGUUAAGUCAGUUGUGAAAGUUUGCGGCUCAACCGUAAAAUUGCAGUUGAAACUGGCAGUCGUGAGUACAGUAGAGGUGGGUGGAAUUCGUGGUGUAGCGGUGAAAUGCUUAGAUAUCACGAAGAACUCCGAUUGCGAAGGCAGCUCACUGGACUGCAACUGACACUGAGGCUCGAAAGUGUGGGUAUCAAACAGGAUUAGAUACCCUUGUAGUC
Molecule: ribosomal RNA, 460 nt
Filed under: uncultured bacterium
Lineage: Bacteria
Description: partial 16S ribosomal RNA
Rfam family: Bacterial small subunit ribosomal RNA
Source: RNAcentral